This 575-nucleotide ribosomal RNA is filed under the name Janibacter sp. RNAcentral describes it as "bacterial SSU rRNA". It matches the Rfam family "Bacterial small subunit ribosomal RNA", at positions 82 to 671 of the family's 1533-position model. The record is from RNAcentral. Lineage: Bacteria; Bacillati; Actinomycetota; Actinomycetes; Micrococcales; Intrasporangiaceae.
UCUAAGGGGAUCAGUGGCGAACGGGUGAGUAACACGUGAGUAACCUGCCCCGGACUCUGGAAUAAGCGCUGGAAACGGCGUCUAAUACCGGAUACGAGACGCAACCGCAUGGUUAGUGUCUGGAAAGUUUUUCGGUCUGGGAUGGACUCGCGGCCUAUCAGCUUGUUGGUGAGGUAAUGGCUCACCAAGGCGACGACGGGUAGCCGGCCUGAGAGGGCGACCGGCCACACUGGGACUGAGACACGGCCCAGACUCCUACGGGAGGCAGCAGUGGGGAAUAUUGCACAAUGGGCGAAAGCCUGAUGCAGCGACGCCGCGUGAGGGAUGACGGCCUUCGGGUUGUAAACCUCUUUCAGCAGGGAAGAAGCGAAAGUGACGGUACCUGCAGAAGAAGCACCGGCUAACUACGUGCCAGCAGCCGCGGUAAUACGUAGGGUGCGAGCGUUGUCCGGAAUUAUUGGGCGUAAAGAGCUUGUAGGCGGUUUGUCGCGUCUGCUGUGAAAAUCCGGGGCUCAACCCCGGACUUGCAGUGGGUACGGGCAGACUAGAGUGUGGUAGGGGAGACUGGAAUUCCU